GGAGUUUGGAAAAAUGGAAGCGUUGGGAUUGUCUUAAGUUGUGCUGUGGUGUUGUUUACUAUUUUGUUGUAGGAUGGUAAAAAUGGACGUGUAAACACAAUCAUUGUGAAUACACGUGAAAUUAUAACAAUUUAGAAACAUUAUGUUGCUUGCGGAACUUUGAAUAAAUAUAAUUACUGUAAUAUGUCAGGAUACAGGAGAGUUAAUUACUAUGAACUUUGCCGCCUAUGUACAGCUAGUGAAGGUACAAAAAUGCAUAUUUUUAGGGAAGAAGGAAGAAGGAGGCAACUUCCAUCAAAAAUCCAACUGUGCCUACCUCUUCAGGUUUGUGAAGACGAUUCACUUCCAAAAAUAAUUUGUAACCAGUGUGUUGAUAAGCUGGAAAGUUUCUGUGACUUCCGUGCCUCAUGUGUUAAUGCAGAGGCAAUGCUAGAAAGUUAUUUUACGUCCUUACGAUAUUCCGAAGACUUCAUCCGGGAGGGAAAGGUUCGUUCCUUUGUCUAUGUUAAAGAUGACAGCCCACCAAAAAAGAAGACCUCUCCGGAACUAGAGAAACCAAGUAUUAAAGUGCCACAUGUCCAAGCAGUGCCAGUAGCUUCUAUACCGGUUAGUGUAGAUGGGCUUAACAACCUGGUACAGGCAACCUCAAUCCAGAUAGUGAGCCAACCUGAGCAAGAAGAGAUCAGCAGGCUGCCUCAUUAUAGAGGACCUCUUGAGAUGCAGCCAACAACCGUGGCUCAGGCUGUGGUGGAUACUCCGGCUGUGAGAUACUCCUACCAGACUUGCACCAGUAUGGCAGCCACUAACACCACAACAAACAUAACCCUCCUCAAGACUGAAGACAGCACUCAAACUGACUAUCAGAAGGAUUUACACAAACCCGAAGUUAACCACCAAACAAUGGACCAAGGAACAACAACUUACUAUGUUCGAGUUCCGAAUAAUGUUGAGCAUGAAAGUUCACCUGGACAGAAUGAAGAAACAGAGGCUGUAGAAGGAGAAACACUGCAUCAAGCCAUUACAUUUGCACCUAGUCAUGGCCAAGAUAUGUUAGUUCAUUUUGGUUUCAAUAAGGACAACAAGGACCAAAACAAUACAACUACGAUACUAAGGACAGAUGACCGAGCAUCAAUAGCACAGAUAGGGGAGUUUCUUAGGAUGAAAACCGUGGUAGUAGAAGAGGAACCGAACCCUACGAAUGAGCAAGAACAUCCGUGUUGUGAUCAGUGUGGCAAGGAACUGAACACUCCUGACCUGCAAGCGAACCAUGAGAUGUUGUGUCCUGGCCCCUCUGAUGAUAAGAAUGGUGGGACUUUUUCAUGUGAAGUGUGUGGAAAACCUUUUAAAAGAAAAGAACAUCUAUUCCAACAUCGUAAAUUACACACAGGAGAGAGGCCGUAUGCUUGUGGAACUUGUGGCAAAGCGUUUAGUCGCAAGGAACAUCUAGUUAGGCAUGCUGUCUCUCAUACGGGGCAGAAGUCCCACACCUGUGAUAUGUGUAGUAAGUCAUUCUCUCGCAAGGACAACCUACACAAGCACCGGAAAACCCAUGGUAUCGCAGGACCAUAUGUAUGCGAGACCUGUGGCAAGUCUUUUGUAGUAAAGCAUUACUAUCUGAUGCACAAGACCAGCCAUAGUUCUCCUGAUAGCCCUGAUGAUCCCUUGCCAUACCGCUGUGAUAUUUGUUACAAAGGUUUCUCGGUGAAGCAGUACCUGACGACACAUAAACUGCGCCAUAGGAGCAAGAAUGUAAUGCCAGUGGACAGCUCGAGUGGUGAACACCCAGAUCAGGACAUGGAGCAGGAUCCUCUAUCUACUGUGAACCCAGCUGCUAUCCUGCCACACCACCCCAACAACCCCCCACUCUUCCAGGUGUAUAAAACUCCAUACAUGCCUGAAACAUGCCACAAUGGACUGCCACUUGAUAAAAAAAAAAAGUUUGAAGUCCAGACUGGAGAAGCAUUGUUACUGACAGAAGUCAGGAGUACAAACAACAUAUCACAUCUGCACCUGUGAAAGUGGAACAGUGGAUAAAAUCAAGAAUCAAGAAGCUUUAUUGUCGUUAAAUACACACAGUGUUCAUGAUUAAGAGGACCAGAUUUUGUGCAAAAUUGUGAGUGAUUCUUAUUUCAUGUUUAGUACUUUUGGAGAUUGCUGUUUUGCCCAAAGGGAUUUUCGAAAUAAGAAUAAGCUAUGUUCAUCCUAGGGAGCUAAGAAUGUUGAUGUAAAAUUUCUGUCCAAUUGGUUUAGUAGUUUAAGCGUGAAAGCAAAACAAACAAUUAAAGGAUCUCUCACAUUUAUAAUAUUACUAGCAGUUACUAGCUUUGUAUGCAAUUUUGUAGGUGUUGCACCUGUAUUAGUACUUCUGGUUUGAGUGAAUUGUAUUUCUGAUGCCAUUGUUGAGUUUGCCUUUUUGCCACAGUAAAAAAAAAAUAUAUUUAAAACUUUAAAUAUAUUAUGGACUCUGUAAUUGAAUCUGGUCUUAAUAUUUUUUCUAUAUAUGAUUUUUACUUUUUCCGAUCAAGAAAAUGGCUGAGAAAAUAAACAUGUGACGAGAAAUUCUUGUAUAUAUAUAAUCUGAAUCUCGGAAUGGCUCCAACGAUUUUCAUGAAAUUUAGUAUGCAGGGGUUUCUGGGGCAAUAAAUUGAUCUAGCUUGGUUUCAUUUUUAGAAAAUAUUGUUUUAUCUGUGUUUUCAAGCAAUGUAAACAAUUGCUACAAAGUCAAUAUUUAUUUCUUUGUUUACAUUCUGUGUAAGAAUUCGAGGUCGGGACAUUCACUACUUCGAUACAAGGUAUAGUGAAAAUCUCAGACCUGCUCAGCAUAGAUUGAGAUGAUAUGAGCAACUUCCUUCUCAAGCCGGCAUAAAGUUUCUAAAUGGGCUCAUUGAGGAAAUAAAAUCAAUAAAUGAUGUAAAUAGGUUCAAAAGUGCAUUGUGAUACUUUUUAGUGUCCCAUUAAUUUUAUAAAGUUGGUGAAUUCAUAGACCAUCUCACUAGCUUCAAUGUGCGAUAGUACAGGGAUGUUGACAUCCAAAGUUAAUUUUUGUUAUAUAUUAAUUUUACUGCUUGACAACUUUUAUUGUUAAUUAACUACGAUAUGUUAAAAAUUGAAUCGUUAGCAUAAAACAUUGUAUUAUUUUAAUGAAUAUAAAAUUAUUAUGUGGCACAUGCUGUGCAAUGUUAAAAUUGUUUAUGGCAAUAAAGGUAUAUUGUAUUGUAUAGCUACUGAAAAUGAUGAGCAACAAGAGUGACAUAUGCAAGGUUUGUGCAUCCAUUGCAUUUCCCUGAGGAACGGGUUUCUAAUCGCAUAAAUAGAAAUUCUUUUGGUGACUGUUGUUUGCAUGAACGAAUUUUAAUGGAGCAAACAAAAUUUUCAAAUGAAUUAGUACACGUCUUUUUUAAACCGUUAUCUAUAUUCGAAAGAGUUUCAUAAACAAAUAAGAAACAUAAAUACAUCUGUUGCUCUAGCAUCCUUUAAUGCAGAAGAUGACAGAACAAUAAAUAGCCAUGGCAUUUAUAGUUAAAUCGUUUGUGGACAACUAUAUCAUAAAAUGAAUCACAAAACACAAUUUACCAGAAAAAAGAUCUGAUAUUAAGUUUUUAAAUGUAUAGUAAAAGUUAGACUACUUUGUUUUUUAUAUCUGCACUGCUAGCAGUUACUCGCUGAUUUACAUGAUAUUUAGUAGUCAUAGCACGCAUAUGACCACUGCUGGUUCUGAGUGAAUUAUAUUCCCAUCAUCAAUUUUGAGUUUGCCUUUUGGCACAAUAUAGAAAAUACACCAAAAAGUGUAUAUUUAUGGCCAUUGUAAUUUACUUAGUAUAGCUCUUAGUAUUUUUUCCAUAGUUGAUUUUGCCUUGUUUCCCCAUCAAGAAAUAUA
Molecule: unclassified non-coding RNA, 3877 nt
Filed under: Homalodisca vitripennis (glassy-winged sharpshooter)
Lineage: Eukaryota; Metazoa; Arthropoda; Insecta; Hemiptera; Cicadellidae
Description: zinc finger protein 114-like, transcript variant X3
Source: RNAcentral